AGGGAAACAGAAAUGCAUAUUAUAAUAUUCAUAAGCAGCAUUGUCUAAGAAACAGAUUUCUAAGGAAGAUGGUUCAAAGGCCAAUAGGACCUCUUCCCAUUAUAUCAGUGUAAAUGAUAACUGUUUAACAAGGUCAAGUAGUAUCCAAGCUGUCCAACCAACAAAUACACUGGACUUCUACUUGUCUCUAUCCACAUCUACAUUAAUGAUCAAGCGCCAAUUGGUGCAGCACCACAUUUAUGCACAAUAAUGAAAA
Molecule: long non-coding RNA, 256 nt
Organism: Hibiscus syriacus
Lineage: Eukaryota; Viridiplantae; Streptophyta; Magnoliopsida; Malvales; Malvaceae
Exons: 3
Source: RefSeq, a predicted model, not a curated record